RNAcentral lists this small RNA (76 nucleotides) under Xanthomonas fragariae. RNAcentral describes it as "sX9 sRNA". It matches the Rfam family "Xanthomonas sRNA sX9". The record is from RNAcentral. Lineage: Bacteria; Pseudomonadati; Pseudomonadota; Gammaproteobacteria; Lysobacterales; Lysobacteraceae.
AUGUACGAUGCGUACGCUUCGGUUUCUCCGCGCCGUCCGCACCCACCUGAGGACUGCUCGCUACGUUUUGUUAGCC